RNAcentral lists this ribosomal RNA (468 nucleotides) under uncultured bacterium. Its description in RNAcentral is "partial 16S ribosomal RNA". It matches the Rfam family "Bacterial small subunit ribosomal RNA", at positions 28 to 507 of the family's 1533-position model. The record is from RNAcentral.
GACGAACGCUGGCGGCGUGCUUAACACAUGCAAGUCGAACGGACAGGCCCUGCUUUUGUGGGUUGCUCGAUUGGCGAGCGGGUGAGUAACACGUGAGUAUCCUGCCCUUGACUUUGGGAUAACUUCAGGAAACUGGGGCUCAUACCGGAUAGGAGCUCCUGCUGCAUGGUGGGGGUUGGAAAGUUUCGGCGGUUGGGGAUGGACUCGCGGCUUAUCAGCUUGUUGGUGUGGUAGUGGCUUACCAAGGCUUUGACGGGUAGCCGGCCUGAGAGGGUGACCGGCCACAUUGGGACUGAGAGACGGCCCAGAAGCGUACGGGAGGCAGCAGUGGGGAAUAUUGCACAAUGGGCGGAAGCCUGAUGCAGCAACGCCGCGUGCGGGAUGACGGCCUUCGGGUUGUAAACCGAUUUCGACUGUGACGAAGCGUGAGUGACGGUAAUGGGUAAAGAAGCACCGGCUAACUACGUG